GUAAUGUCUGGGAAACUGCCUGAUGGAGGGGGGUAACUACUGGAAACGGUAGCUAAUACCGCAUAACGUCGCAAGACCAAAGAGGGGGACCUUCGGGCCUCUUGCCAUCGGAUGUGCCCAGAUGGGAUUAGCUAGUAGGUGGGGUAACGGCUCACCUAGGCGACGAUCCCUAGCUGGUCUGAGAGGAUGACCAGCCACACUGGAACUGAGACACGGUCCAG
Molecule: ribosomal RNA, 221 nt
Filed under: uncultured bacterium
Lineage: Bacteria
Description: partial 16S ribosomal RNA
Rfam family: Bacterial small subunit ribosomal RNA
Source: RNAcentral